This is a non-coding RNA of Oryctolagus cuniculus (rabbit), 4212 nucleotides long. The record is from RefSeq and is a predicted model, not a curated record. Lineage: Eukaryota; Metazoa; Chordata; Mammalia; Lagomorpha; Leporidae.
UUUUGACAGGCAGAGUGGACAGAGAGAGAGAGACAGAGAGAAAGGUCUUCUCUGUUCACCCUCCAACGGCCGCUAUGGCCAGUGCACCGCGCUGAUCCGAAGCCAGGAGCCAGGUACUUUUCCUGGUCUCCCAUGGGGUGCAGGGCCCAAGCACUUGGGCCAUCCUCCACUGCACUCCCUGGCCACAGCAGAGAGCUGGCCUGGAAGAGGGGCAACCGGGACAGAAUCCGGCGCCCCGACCGGGACUAGAACCCGGUGUGCCGGCGCCGCAAGGCAGAGGAUUAGCCUAGUGAGCCGCGGCGCCGGCCCCCAAUUUCUUCACACAUUGCUAAACUUGCCUUUUUCUGUUUAAACUAUAACCAGUGAGUGUCAUGAGUAUCUCACUGUGGUCCUGGGUUUGCAUUUUCCCCGUGACACUCAGCAUCUCCUCACGUGCUUCCUGGCCACUUGGAUGUCUUUGGAGAAAUGUCUCUUCAGCUCCUUUGCCCGUCUUCCAACCAGGCUGCCCUUCGCUGAGUUUUAAAGCUCUUUACAUAUAUACUCUGAGUAUCACCAGAUCCUCCUCAGACCGUUCUGUGGGUGGUUUUCCCAGGUUUUUGGAUAGUAUGCGCUGUGGUUGUUCAGUCCUCUUACAGAUUUGAAGACUCUCAAAAUAAAAAAAGGAAAAUACGUAUUGCUUCCAGGGCUGGAUUGCAGUGCAGCGGGUCACGCAGCAUCCUGUACUGAAGCGCGGGUUUGAGUUCUGGCUGCUCUGCUUUGGAUCCAACUCAGAGCAGCAGAAGAUGGCCCAAGCACUGGUCCUCUGUCUCACAUGGGGGGCCAUUUGGGGAGUGAACCACUGAAUGGACGAUCUCUCUGCCUUUCUAAGUACACAGAUCUUAGGAACAACUAUACAUGGAUUCCAAGGUGUUUUUUACACAUCUUGGGGUUGGUGCUGUGGCACAGGAGGCUGAGCCUCUGUCGGUAGCUCCAGUUCCAGUCCCAGCUGCCCCCUUCUGAUCCACGUACGCCCAGGGAGGCAUGAGGGUGAACGUACCUCAGGGCCUGGCUCGUGACCACCAGGUGCGACUCCGUCGUGCGGAAGAUGUUGUGAAUGGCGCGGGCGGCCAGGACUUGUCUCAUGGCCUCGUAAAUCACUGCGGUCGUGCUGUCUGUCUUAACUGCCAUUGAGCCCAAGAACCGAACUACGAACAUCUGCUGCAGCAGGGAAUCUGCAAGAGAAGAGGUUCAGCUCAGGGUCACGUCCGCUUCCAGCCCGCGGCGGCGGCCAAGAGCCAGGGGCGCGGGGCCCGGCUGGCUCCCCGCGGAGGCCUUCCUACCCAGGGUCUCAGCGCUCCGACCCGGGAGCCCGACGCUGCCACUUCUCCAAAUGUUCCGCCUGCAUCCUGUCGCUGUGGUGGAAACCGCCUCAUAGAAGCCGAGUUACUGGUACCACCCAGUGUCCUCUUGGCACUGCACGUGGUGACCGUGGACACGCUCACCUUUCCUUUGAAAGUGCGCGUGACCCAGCAGGUAGCAGGGAAUAAACCGCGUCGGCCCACGGGUGCUGUCCUCUUAUGGAAGAUCACUGACUUGCAGGAAACAAAGGCGCGGUGUUUUCACUCAAUUCCAGUGCCAUGGUCACGACUGAAGGCAGCUGGCAUCAACUGGUGGAGAGCCCGAGAGCGCAAGCCACAGCCGUUUGCUUGUGGCGUGCACUGAGCUGUCGCGGCGAGCGCCACUGGGAGGUCGGGAAGACGUGGACAAGGCCGCAGCUGCUGCUGUGACAUCAGUCAUUCCCCAACACUGCCAACCGAGAAGCCUCCCUUUUUCUACUCUUACCCCGAAACACCUCCAAGCUUAAACACAGUGCAGGAAACUGAGCGGUACACACUCUAAAUGGACACUCAUGCACGUCUCUGUACGGACGGUUUACGGUACAAACUGAAAAGUAGGCUAGAUCCAAGGGGAGAGCGCCAGACGCGAGGCCCAGCCUGUAAUAUCGCACACACAGUCUCCCCAACAGAACGGCAACUCUCAAGUCCUGCUUCCGGUGCAGCCUCGUUCCCAGGCACCCUCAGCUCCCAGCGUGAGGCCACGUUACCGUGAGGUCUCCCUAGCACUCGCAGUGACUAAAAUCCCCGCCUUGGCUCAGCAUCUGCUCAGCUGAGUGGAAGGUUAGGGUCAGCCCCACCGGGUGUGUUCUCAAGUACACUCUAAGAGUGGAAACCCACAAGAUAAAAACAGGACUCUAAAGAGACUAAUUUAUCUGGCAGGUGCUAUGGCACAGACCAAGUUGCCACCUGUGACAAACCACACCCCACAGUGGAACACCAAUUGAGUCCUCGCUACUCUGCUGUCAACCAACUUCCUGCUAAUGCACCUGGUGGCAGGGGCAGCAGAUGGUGGCCCAAGUACUUAGGUCCCUGCCACCCACAUGGGAGACCCAGAUGGAGCUCCAGGGUCCUGGCUGUGGCCUGGCCCAGCCCCAGCUGCUGCAGGUUACUUGGGGAGUGAAUCAGCGAUGAACGACAGAGGCUCCUCUCUCCCUCUGUCACUCUGCCUUUCAGGUAAAUAAACUUCAGUCUUUUAAAAAUGUAUCAUUUAUUCAGGUCACCUUACAAUUCAAGAAUGAAUUAUUUAUCCUUAUGGUUUCUGAAAUAAAAUAACCAAGGUUAGACUUCGAGGUGACCUUUUUUAACAAGAAUGUGCUAUUUUGCAGCAUUUCUGUGCAGGAGCUACAGAUGGGUGCUGCAACAGCUGAGCAUUGUGACACAGGUUAAGCUGCCACCUGCGACACCGGCAUCCCAUAUGGGCACCAGUUCAUGUCCCAGCUGCUCCACUUCUGAUCUAACUCCCUUGUAGCCUGGGAAAGCAGCAGAAGGUACUGCCACCCAUGUGGGAGACCCGGAUGAAGCUUGUGGCUCCUGGCGUUGGCCUGGCUCAGCCCUGGCCAUUGUGGCCAUCUGGGGAGUGAACCAGUGGAUGGAAAAUAUCCCCCACCCCAGUAAUAUGGACUUUCAAAAAAAAAAAAUCUUAAAAAAAAAAAAAAGGCUGAAAUCUUCAUACUGCCCCUCAGUUUUUAAGCAAGACUGGCCCUUACCACCCAUGUCCUGCUAGACUUACAAUUUUGAUUCAUACUCUACAUCAGAGCUCACUCAAACAUGACUUCCCAGCUCACGUCAGAGGCCUUGUCAGGUCAGGCAGUGUGGCACAGUGGGUAACGCCGCCGCUUAGGACAGUCCACAUCCCACACUGGAGCGCCAGUCUGAGUCCCAACCCCUUUCCUUCCAAUCUAGCUCCCCGUCAAUACAAACCCUGAGCAGCUGAUGGCUCAAGUACUGAGUUCUUUUUUUUAUUUUUUUUAUUUUUUUUAUUUUUGACAGGCAGAGUGGACAGUGAGAGAGAGAGACAGAGAGAGAAAGGUCUUCCUUUGCCAUUGGUUCACCCUCCAAUGGCCGCCGCUGCAGCCGGCGCACCGCGCUGAUCCGAUGGCAGGAGCCAGGAUCCAGGUGCUUCUCCUGGUCUCCCAUGGGGUACAGGGCCCAAGCACUUGGGCCAUCCUCCACUGCACUCCCGGGCCAUAGCAGAGAGCUGGACUGGAAGAGGGGCAACCGGGACAGAAUCCGGCGCCCCGACCGGGACUAGAACCCGGUGUGCCGGCGCCGGCCUCAAGUACUGAGUUCUGACCACCUGUGCGGGAGGCCGGGCCAGAGUUCCAGGCUGCUAGCUUCAACCAGUGGAUAGAAGGUUUCUCUGCCUCCCGCCACCCUCCCUCUACCCAGAAGCCCUCUGCCUUUCAAAGGAAUAAAUACUCUGGAGCAACUACUGAAAAUAAAAAUGGACCUUGUCAUUGUGUACAGAGGAGAGUAAGCACAUCCAACCAGCCACGCACCUUCCGCUUCUGGAAAUGAUCCGUCCUCAGUUUCCCCGAAAGGAUUGACCCGCCUAGGGGAGGAGCCAGAGUUAGAGAAUCCUGACAGCGCCCGCAGUGUGGGUGGGCCACAGCCACAUCAAGUUCACUUUCUUUCCUCCCAGAGAACCUCCCUUCGCCCAUACCUGCUCCCUCUGUUCUGAUCAAGGAAUUCCGUAGCGGGGAGGACAAUGUCAAACUGGAUGGGUGUCCCGGGGGCUAUCAGCUCCUCCGUGUCAGUUACACCGACUGUUGCGUUGGGAAUGAGCCUGGCACUUUCCAUCUCUGAAUUGGUCAGGUUCUGGCUGGCGUACAAGACA